RNAcentral lists this ribosomal RNA (462 nucleotides) under uncultured bacterium. Its description in RNAcentral is "partial 16S ribosomal RNA". It matches the Rfam family "Bacterial small subunit ribosomal RNA", at positions 29 to 507 of the family's 1533-position model. The record is from RNAcentral.
AGCGAACGCUGGCGGCAGGCUUAACACAUGCAAGUCGAGCGGGCAUCCUUGUGGUGUCUGCGGCCGACGGGUGAGUAACGCGUGGGAACGUGCCCUUCGGUUCGGACUAACUCAGGGAAACUUGAGCUAAUACCGGAUACGUGCUAGAGCAGAAAGGUUUCUCUGCCGAAGGAUCGGCCCUCUUCUGAUUAGCUAGUUGGUGAGGUUAUGGUUCACCAAUGCGACGAUCAGUAGCUGGUCUGAGAGGAUGAUCAGCCACACUGGAACUGAGACACGGCCCAGACUGCUACGGGAGGCAGCAGUGGGGAAUAUUGGACAAUGGGCGCAAGCGUGAUCGAGCCAUACCGCGUGGGUGAAGAAGGCCUUCGGGUUGUAAAGAACUUUGGGUGGGAAAGAAAAGCAGCAGGUUAAUAACCCGCUGUUAUGACGGGACAAAAAGAAUAAGAAAAGGCUAACUUCGUG